This 72-nucleotide transfer RNA is filed under the name Camelus bactrianus (Bactrian camel). It matches the Rfam family "tRNA". From Rfam's summary of the family: Transfer RNA (tRNA) molecules are approximately 80 nucleotides in length. Their secondary structure includes four short double-helical elements and three loops (D, anti-codon, and T loops). RNAcentral also lists the same sequence under 2 other names. Lineage: Eukaryota; Metazoa; Chordata; Mammalia; Artiodactyla; Camelidae. The record is from Rfam by way of RNAcentral.
GAGGGUAUAGCUCAGUGGUAGAGCAUGUGCUUAGCAUGCACAAGGUCCUGGGUUCAAUCCCCAGGAUUUCCA